CGAACGGUAACAGGUCUUCGGACGCUGACGAGUGGCGAACGGGUGAGCAAUACAUCGGAACGUGCCCAGUCGUGGGGGAUAACUACUCGAAAGAGUAGCUAAUACCGCAUACGAUCUGAGGAUGAAAGCGGGGGACCUUCGGGCCUCGCGCGAUUGGAGCGGCCGAUGGCAGAUUAGGUAGUUGGUGGGAUAAAAGCUUACCAAGCCGACGAUCUGUAGCUGGUCUGAGAGGACGACCAGCCACACUGGGACUGAGACACGGCCCAGACUCCUACGGGAGGCAGCAGUGGGGAAUUUUGGACAAUGGGCGAAAGCCUGAUCCAGCAAUGCCGCGUGCAGGAUGAAGGCCUUCGGGUUGUAAACUGCUUUUGUACGGAACGAAAAAGCUUCUCCUAAUACGAGAGGCCCAUGACGGUACCGUAAGAAUAAGCACCGGCUAACUACGUGCCAGCAGCCGCGGUAAUACGUAGGGUGCGAGCGUUAAUCGGAAUUACUGGGCGUAAAGCGUGCGCAGGCGGUUAUGUAAGACAGAUGUGAAAUCCCCGGGCUCAACCUGGGAACUGCAUUUGUGACUGCAUGGCUAGAGUACGGUAGAGGGGGAUGGAAUUCCGCGUGUAGCAGUGAAAUGCGUAGAUAUGCGGAGGAACACCGAUGGCGAAGGCAA
Molecule: ribosomal RNA, 664 nt
Filed under: uncultured beta proteobacterium
Lineage: Bacteria; Pseudomonadati; Pseudomonadota; Betaproteobacteria
Description: bacterial SSU rRNA
Rfam family: Bacterial small subunit ribosomal RNA
Source: RNAcentral